RNAcentral lists this ribosomal RNA (435 nucleotides) under uncultured bacterium. RNAcentral's name for it is "partial 16S ribosomal RNA". It matches the Rfam family "Bacterial small subunit ribosomal RNA", at positions 29 to 507 of the family's 1533-position model. The record is from RNAcentral.
AGCGAACGCUGGCGGCAGGCUUAACACAUGCAAGUCGAGCGGGCAUAGCAAUAUGACAGCGGCAGACGGGUGAGUAACGCGUGGGAACGUACCUUUUGGUUCGGAACAACACAGGGAAACUUGUGCUAAUACCGGAUAAGCCCUUACGGGGAAAGAUUUAUCGCCGAAAGAUCGGCCCGCGUCUGAUUAGCUAGUUGGUGAGGUAAUGGCUCACCAAGGCGACGAUCAGUAGCUGGUCUGAGAGGAUGAUCAGCCACAUUGGGACUGAGACACGGCCCAAACUCCUACGGGAGGCAGCAGUGGGGAAUAUUGGACAAUGGGCGCAAGCCUGAUCCAGCCAUGCCGCGUGAGUGAUGAAGGCCCUAGGGUUGUAAAGCUCUUUUGUGCGGGAAGAUAAUGACGGUACCGCAAGAAUAAGCCCCGGCUAACUUCGUG